GACGAACGCUGGCGGCGUGCUUAACACAUGCAAGUCGAACGGAAAGGCCCUGCUUUUGUGGGGUGCUCGAGUGGCGAACGGGUGAGUAACACGUGAGUAACCUGCCCUUGACUUUGGGAUAACUUCAGGAAACUGGGGCUAAUACCGGAUAGGAGCUCCUGCUGCAUGGUGGGGGUUGGAAAGUUUCGGCGGUUGGGGAUGGACUCGCGGCUUAUCAGCUUGUUGGUGGGGUAGUGGCUUACCAAGGCUUUGACGGGUAGCCGGCCUGAGAGGGUGACCGGCCACAUUGGGACUGAGGUACGGCCCAGACUCCUACGGGGGGCAGCAGUGGGGAAUCUUGCACAAUGGGCCCAAGCCUGAUGCAGCAACGCCGCGUGCGGGAUGACGGCCUUCGGGUUGUAAACCGCUUUCGCCUGUGACGAAGCGUGAGUGACGGUAAUGGGUAAAGAAGCACCGGCUAACUACGUG
RNAcentral lists this ribosomal RNA (468 nucleotides) under uncultured bacterium. RNAcentral's name for it is "partial 16S ribosomal RNA". It matches the Rfam family "Bacterial small subunit ribosomal RNA", at positions 28 to 507 of the family's 1533-position model. The record is from RNAcentral.